GGCGCAGCCGGGUGUUCCCGCUGGAGACGUCGCCCCCCUCUUCGAGAAGGAGCAGCCCGUGACCGCACCGUCGUCGCUGGGGAUAGGGAGCACCUGGGUUCCCAGCCCGGCCCUGCCACCUGCCAGGGUGUGUGAUGUGGGAGAAGCCGCUUCGCUUCUGGCCCCAGGCUCGUCUGCGCUUGGAGUAAAUCACUCCCUCUCCUGGUGGUUGUGAGGAUUAGGAAUAAUGCAGGAGCUCACGCUAAAAUUCCAUGUGCUAGGCUCUCCUGCCUGGCCCACAUGCUGCCAAUCAAGACCCGGGUUCAAGUUUUGUCUGCAACUGACUUGCUGAAUGACCGUGGGAAAUUUGCCUUCCCUCUCUGGUCUUCAGUUUCGUCUUCUGCAAUUGGAUGAUGAAGGUCCCCACCUCACUAAACUGUUGGGAGGUUUAAAUAAGAUGGCCCUUGAGAAAGUGUGAGUGAGCCACCUGUGUCAGACUCUGCCAACCACUGUCCUUGAAAAACUCCUUUCUUUUGGCUUCCAUGACAACAGGGACUCCGGGUUUUCUUCUACCUCACAGUCUUUGCAAGCCUUACACAUCCCUUUGGAGUUAGUGCGCCCUGGGGUUCUCUCUUAGGCGCCCCUCUGUUCCUUGCUGAGGGGUGACUCGGCGACUGUGUCCUCUCUAAGCCUUCAGGGUCCAGCAGUGCGUGCAGCCCAGACCUUUCUUCUAUGGGUCCCAAUAUUUACAGGACACCUCCACUCACAUGGGUCCCACAGGAACCUCACAUUUAACACCUCCUAAGCUAAACAUGCCAUCUUCUAUCACAAAACCUUAGGGCCACAUCCCGGUCCUCCAUCCUCCGCAGGUCGGAGAGAAAGCUGAGAGCCUUCUCAAGGCUUCCCUCUCUCCCAUCCCCCUGCUAUCCAAACAUCCACUAAGUCAAAUCAUUUUCCCUCUUUCAUGUCCCUUCAGUCUGUCUUUUCCAUUCCCGCUGUCACUGUCCCAGUCUUGGCCAUUGCUGUAUUGCUCACUUGGGAGACAGCAGCAGCAUCCUAACUUGUCACUCUGUCUCCGAUCUUACUCCCUCCAAUCCGUUCUCUGUGCUAAAACCAAAAUAACCUUCCUAAAAUACCAGUCUUGCCUCACUCCUCAUGUUACUUCCCAGCCCUCCAAACUCUAACCAUGUGGAACUCAUUUCUCUUCUCAGAGUGCCUGGCGUCUGGGCCUUCUCACAUGCUGUUCUCCCUGGAACGCUGGCAUUCCCUCUUGCUUGGCUCACUCCGCCUUGUCCUACAGAUCUCCACCUAGACACUUUUGCAUAGCUUUCCCUGGCCUCCCCAACCCCUGCCUAACUUAGGCACCCCUCCUGUUUGCUCUUAAAGUGGGAAUACGUGAACUCCUAUCUCAUGGUGAAGGUUUUGAUGCAGACUUUCUAGAAAGCAAAAGUAAAUGUGUGUCAGAAUCUUUUAAUAUGUCUAUAUCCUUCAACCCAGCAAUUCCUCUUUUGAGAAAUUUAAGAAAACCUUAAAGAUG
Molecule: long non-coding RNA, 1516 nt
Filed under: Equus caballus (horse)
Lineage: Eukaryota; Metazoa; Chordata; Mammalia; Perissodactyla; Equidae
Description: lncRNA (ENSECAG00000060146.1)
Source: RNAcentral